CAAGCAGGUACGAAAGUAGGACUUAGUGAUCCGGUGGUUCUGUAUGGAAGGGCCAUCGCUCAACGGAUAAAAGGUACUCCGGGGAUAACAGGCUGAUACUGCCCAAGAGUUCAUAUCGACGGCAGUGUUUGGCACCUCGAUGUCGGCUCAUCACAUCCUGGGGCUGUAGCCGGUCCCAAGGGUAUGGCUGUUCGCCAUUUAAAGUGGUACGCGAGCUGGGUUCAGAACGUCGUGAGACAGUUCGGUCCCUAUCUGUCGUGGGCGUUGGAGAUUUGAGAGGGGCUGCUCCUAGUACGAGAGGACCGGAGUGGACGAUCCCCUGGUGUUCCGGUUGUCACGCCAGUGGCACUGCCGGGUAGCUAUGAUCGGAAGCGAUAACCGCUGAAAGCAUCUAAGCGGGAAGCGCGCCUCAAGAUGAGAUCUCCCGGGGCACAAGCCCCCUGAAGGACCCAUGAAGACUACAUGGUUGAUAGGUCAGGUGUGUAUCGCAGUAAUGCCGAGCUAACUGAUACUAAUGAUCCGUGCGGCUUGAUCAUAUAACUCCAA
RNAcentral lists this ribosomal RNA (546 nucleotides) under Lysobacterales bacterium. Its description in RNAcentral is "partial 23S ribosomal RNA". It matches the Rfam family "Bacterial large subunit ribosomal RNA", at positions 2390 to 2925 of the family's 2925-position model. The record is from RNAcentral. Lineage: Bacteria; Pseudomonadati; Pseudomonadota; Gammaproteobacteria; Lysobacterales.